This 701-nucleotide ribosomal RNA is filed under the name uncultured bacterium. RNAcentral's name for it is "bacterial SSU rRNA". It matches the Rfam family "Bacterial small subunit ribosomal RNA", at positions 59 to 760 of the family's 1533-position model. The record is from RNAcentral.
CAGUCGAACGAGGCACUUUAAUUGAUUUCUUCGGAAUGAAGUUUUUGUGACUGAUUGGCGGACGGGUGAGUAACGCGUGGGUAACCUGCCUCAUACAGGGGGAUAACAGUUGGAAACGACUGCUAAUACCGCAUAAGCGCACAGGAUUGCAUGAUCCAGUGUGAAAAACUCCGGUGGUAUGAGAUGGACCCGCGUCUGAUUAGCCAGUUGGCGGGGUAACGGCCCACCAAAGCGACGAUCAGUAGCCGACCUGAGAGGGUGACCGGCCACAUUGGGACUGAGACACGGCCCAAACUCCUACGGGAGGCAGCAGUGGGGAAUAUUGCACAAUGGGGGAAACCCUGAUGCAGCGACGCCGCGUGAGCGAAGAAGUAUUUCGGUAUGUAAAGCUCUAUCAGCAGGGAAGAAAAUGACGGUACCUGACUAAGAAGCACCGGCUAAAUACGUGCCAGCAGCCGCGGUAAUACGUAUGGUGCAAGCGUUAUCCGGAUUUACUGGGUGUAAAGGGAGCGUAGACGGCUGUGUAAGUCUGAAGUGAAAGCCCGGGGCUCAACCCCGGGACUGCUUUGGAAACUAUGCAGCUAGAGUGUCGGAGAGGUAAGUGGAAUUCCCAGUGUAGCGGUGAAAUGCGUAGAUAUUGGGAGGAACACCAGUGGCGAAGGCGGCUUACUGGACGAUGACUGACGUUGAGGCUCGAAAGC